This 437-nucleotide long non-coding RNA is filed under the name Homo sapiens (human). RNAcentral describes it as "HSALNT0126235". Lineage: Eukaryota; Metazoa; Chordata; Mammalia; Primates; Hominidae. The record is from RNAcentral.
CCGGAUGAGGAACUCGGAGGAGGAGCUGGGCCCGCGCGUCCAUGAUUCGAAGGCUCGUUUUCGCAGCUUUUCCACGUCUUUUUCCGGUCCCACUGCCCUCCAUGCUAACUCACUGGGCGUCUCUAGCCGUUAUACCAACAAUGACUGCGACCAGUGUUGGGAAAGCGCCCCCUGGGCCCCUCCCUGACGCCAGCCCAUCCUUGAGACUCCCUGCAAGGAGGCGGCCCGACCCAGUGGGUGCGUGUCGUGGGGUGAGGAGGAAUGGCCGACCUAAUGGUCCCGCUUCCGUGAAGCUAGAUCUGCAAGGCAUAGGCAAGCCUCUUAGAGAAUCAGAAAAGUGAUUUGGAAGGAACUUCAGCUGUUACUACUUUGUUUAAGCAAAUCAAAUGCUGUUCUUUAAUGUUACUGGACGUUUCAAAUUAAACACAAGAAAACCU